AUGUGUGUACCAAAGAACCAUGGAGGAAUGAGAUUCCGUGAUAUUCACUGUUUCAAUCUGGCUUUACUCGCUAAGCAGGCAUGGCGUCUACUUGAUAACACUGACUCACUGUGUGCCACUAUUCUAAGAGCAAAGUAUUACCCUGAUGGUGAUUUGCUGAAUUUCAAGUCAAAGCAUGAAGCUUCUUUCACCUGGCAAAGCAUUAUGGCGGGCAUUAGCACUCUGAAACGUGGCUAUAUUUGGCGAGUGGGAAAUGGAAAAAAUAUCAAUAUCUGGGAAGAUACCUGGAUCCCAAAUUGUGUCAUCAGGAAAGUUGUGACCCCUAAGGGGGGACAAUUGUUAUCAAAAGUGGUUGACUUGAUUGACACUGUCUCCAGUAAAUGGGAUGAGGACCUGAUUAGACAAACUAUGUGGCCCAUUGAUGUACAACGUAUUAUUUCAAUCCCACUUCCGCAACAUGAUAUGGCAGAUUUCAUUGCCUGGAGUAAUACAAAAAGUGGGUUGUUUUCGGUACGAUCUGCUUAUUAUGCGGAGUGGAAUUAUUAG
RNAcentral lists this ribosomal RNA (546 nucleotides) under Triticum aestivum (bread wheat). RNAcentral's name for it is "partial small subunit ribosomal RNA". The record is from RNAcentral. Lineage: Eukaryota; Viridiplantae; Streptophyta; Magnoliopsida; Poales; Poaceae.